RNAcentral lists this ribosomal RNA (407 nucleotides) under uncultured bacterium. RNAcentral describes it as "bacterial SSU rRNA". It matches the Rfam family "Bacterial small subunit ribosomal RNA", at positions 355 to 776 of the family's 1533-position model. RNAcentral also lists the same sequence under 1 other name. The record is from RNAcentral.
UGGGGAAUAUUGCACAAUGGGCGAAAGCCUGAUGCAGCAACGCCGCGUGAAGGAAGAAGGGUUUCGGCUCGUAAACUUCUAUCAACAGGGACGAAGGAAGUGACGGUACCUGAAUAAGAAGCCCCGGCUAACUACGUGCCAGCAGCCGCGGUAAUACGUAGGGGGCAAGCGUUAUCCGGAAUUACUGGGUGUAAAGGGUGAGUAGGCGGCAUGGUAAGCCAGAUGUGAAAGCCUUGGGCUUAACCCGAGGAUUGCAUUUGGAACUAUCAAGCUAGAGUACAGGAGAGGAAAGCGGAAUUCCUAGUGUAGCGGUGAAAUGCGUAGAUAUUAGGAAGAACACCAGUGGCGAAGGCGGCUUUCUGGACUGAAACUGACGCUGAGGCACGAAAGCGUGGGGAGCGAACAGG